GUUACUGCUAUCGGUGUUCGCCUAAGCCAUGCGAGUCAUAUGUAGCAAUACAUGGCGUACUGCUCAGUAACACGUGGAUAACCUGCCCUUGGGUCCGGCAUAACCCCGGGAAACUGGGGAUAAUUCCGGAUAACGCAUAUAUGCUGGAAUGCCUUCUGCGUAAAAUGGAUUCGUCUGCCCAAGGAUGGGUCUGCGGCCUAUCAGGUAGUAGUGGGUGUAAUGUACCUACUAGCCUACGACGGGUACGGGUUGUGAGAGCAAGAGCCCGGAGAUGGAUUCUGAGACGUGAAUCCAGGCCCUACGGGGCGCAGCAGGCGCGAAAACUUUACAAUGCGGGAAACCGUGAUAAGGGGACACCGAGUGCCAGCAUCCUAUGCUGGCUGUCCGGGUGUGUAAAAUACACCUGUUAGCAAGGGCCGGGCAAGACCGGUGCCAGCCGCCGCGGUAACACCGGCGGCCCGAGUGGUGAUCGUGAUUAUUGGGUCUAAGGGGUCCGUAGCCGGUUUGGUCAGUCCUCCGGGAAAUCUGACAGCUCAACUGUUAGGCUUUCGGAGGAUACUGCCAGACUUGGAACCGGGAGAGGUAAGAGGUACUACAGGGGUAGGAGUGAAAUCUUGUAAUCCCUGUGGGACCACCUGUGGCGAAGGCGUCUUACCAGAACGGGUUCGACGGUGAGGGACGAAAGCUGGGGGCACGAACCGGAUUAGAUACCCGGGUAGUCCCAGCCGUAAACGAUGCUCGCUAGGUGUCAGGCAUGGCGCGACCGUGUCUGGUGCCGCAGGGAAGCCGUGAAGCGAGCCACCUGGGAAGUACGGCCGCAAGGCUGAAACUUAA
This 834-nucleotide ribosomal RNA is filed under the name uncultured archaeon. Its description in RNAcentral is "bacterial SSU rRNA". It matches the Rfam family "Archaeal small subunit ribosomal RNA", at positions 23 to 859 of the family's 1478-position model. The record is from RNAcentral.